AUUGAACGCUGGCGGCAGGCCUAACACAUGCAAGUCGGACGGUAGCACAGAGGAGCUUGCUCCUCGGGUGACGAGUGGCGGACGGGUGAGUAAUGUCUGGGGAUCUGCCCGAUAGAGGGGGAUAACCACUGGAAACGGUGGCUAAUACCGCAUAACGUCGCAAGACCAAAGAGGGGGACCUUCGGGCCUCUCACUAUCGGAUGAACCCGGAUGGGAUUAGCUAGUAGGCGGGGUAACGGCCCACCUAGGCGACGAUCCCUAGCUGGUCUGAGAGGAUGACCAGCCACACUGGAACUGAGACACGGUCCAGGCUCCUACGGGAGGCAGCAGUGGGGAAUAUUGCACAAUGGGCGCAAGCCUGAUGCAGCCAUGCCGCGUGUAUGAAGAAGGCCUUCGGGUUGUAAAGUACUUUCAGCGGGGAGGAAGGCGAUGUGGUUAAUAACCGCGUCGAUUGACGUUACCCGCAGAAGAAGCACCGGCUAACUCCGUGCCAGCAGCCGCAGUAA
RNAcentral lists this ribosomal RNA (506 nucleotides) under uncultured bacterium. Its description in RNAcentral is "partial 16S ribosomal RNA". It matches the Rfam family "Bacterial small subunit ribosomal RNA", at positions 29 to 523 of the family's 1533-position model. The record is from RNAcentral.